Molecule: ribosomal RNA, 406 nt
Filed under: uncultured bacterium
Lineage: Bacteria
Description: partial 16S ribosomal RNA
Rfam family: Bacterial small subunit ribosomal RNA
Source: RNAcentral
AUUGAACGAUGGCGGCAGGCCUAACACAUGCAAGUCGAACGAGUGGCGGACGGGUGAGUAAUGUCUGGGAAACUGCCUGAUGGAGGGGGAUAACUACUGGAAACGGUAGCUAAUACCGCAUACCAUCGGAUGUGCCCAGAUGGUAUUAGCUAGUAGGGGGGGUAAAGGUUCAACUAGGCGACGAUCCCUAGCUGGUCUGAGAGGAUGACCAGCCACACGGGAACUGCGCCACGGUCCAGACUCCUACGGGAUGCAGCAGUGGGGAAUAUUGCACAAUGGGCGCAAGCCUGAUGCAGCCAUGCCGCUUGUAUGAAGAAGGCCGUCGGUUUUUAAAGUACUUUCAGCGGGGAGGCGUUACCCGCAGAAGAAGCACCGGCUAACUCCGUGCCAGCAGCCGCGGUAAUUC